CUGUGGCUUAGUGGUCGAGCAUCUGCUUUGGAUGCAGAAGGCCCUGGGUUCAAUCCCAGGUAGGGAGA
This is a non-coding RNA of Podarcis lilfordi (Lilford's wall lizard), 68 nucleotides long. NCBI's taxonomy places the organism in Eukaryota, Metazoa, Chordata, Lepidosauria, Squamata, Lacertidae. The record is from the annotation of a GenBank genome assembly.